This 492-nucleotide ribosomal RNA is filed under the name uncultured bacterium. RNAcentral describes it as "partial 16S ribosomal RNA". It matches the Rfam family "Bacterial small subunit ribosomal RNA", at positions 29 to 507 of the family's 1533-position model. The record is from RNAcentral.
AGUGAACGCUGGCGGUAGGCCUAACACAUGCAAGUCGAACGACAGCACAGUAAGAGCUUGCUCUUACGGGUGGCGAGUGGCGGACGGGUGAGGAAUACAUCGGAAUCUACUUUUUCGUGGGGGAUAACGUAGGGAAACUUACGCUAAUACCGCAUACGACCUACGGGUGAAAGCAGGGGAUCUUCGGACCUUGCGCGAUUGAAUGAGCCGAUGGCGGAUUAGCUAGUUGGCGGGGUAAAGGCCCACCAAGGCGACGAUCCGUAGCUGGUCUGAGAGGAUGAUCAGCCACACUGGAACUGAGACACGGUCCAGACUCCUACGGGAGGCAGCAGUGGGGAAUAUUGGACAAUGGGCGCAAGCCUGACCCAGCCAUACCGCGUGGGUGAAGAAGGUCUUCGGGUUGUAAAGCCCUUUUGUUGGGAAAGAAAAGCAGCAGGUUAAUACCCCGCUGUUCUGACGGUACCCAAAGAAUAAGCACCGGCUAACUUCGUG